GAUGAACGCUGGCGGCGUGCCUAAUACAUGCAAGUCGAGCGAACGGACGAGAAUCUUGCUUCUCUGAUGUUAGCGGCUGACGGGUGAGUAACACGUGGAUAACCUACCUAUAAGACUGGUAUAACUUCGGGAAACCGGAACUAAUACCGGAUGUUAUUUUGAACCGCAUGGUUCAAAAGUGUAAUACGGUCUUUCUGUCACUUAUAGAUGUAUCCGCGCUGCAUUAGCUAGUUGGUAAGGUAACGGCUUACCAAGGCAACGAUGCAUAGCCGAAAUGAGAGGGUGAUCGGCAACACGGGAAGUGAGACACGGUAGAGAGGACGACGGGAGGGAGCAGAAGGGAAGAUGACGCAAUGGGAGAAAGCAUGACGGAGGAACGACGCGUGAGAGAUGAAGGUCUUCGGAUCGUAAAACUCUGUUAGUAGGGAAGAACAUAUGUGUAAGUAAAAGUGCAGAGAGUGACGGUAACUAAUAAGAAAGCAACGGCUAACUACGUG
Molecule: ribosomal RNA, 497 nt
Filed under: uncultured bacterium
Lineage: Bacteria
Description: partial 16S ribosomal RNA
Rfam family: Bacterial small subunit ribosomal RNA
Source: RNAcentral